AACGAACGCUGGCGGCAUGCCUAACACAUGCAAGUCGAACGAGACCUUCGGGUCUAGUGGCGCACGGGUGCGUAACGCGUGGGAACCUGCCCUUAGGUUCGGAAUAACUCCCCGAAAGGGGUGCUAAUACCGGAUAAUGUCUUCGGACCAAAGAUUUAUCGCCUUUGGAUGGGCCCGCGUUGGAUUAGCUAGUUGGUAGGGUAAAAGCCUACCAAGGCGACGAUCCAUAGCUGGUCUGAGAGGAUGAUCAGCCACACUGGGACUGAGGCACGGCCCAGACUCCUACGGGAGGCAGCAGUGGGGAAUAUUGGACAAUGGGCGAAAGCCUGAUCCAGCAAUGCCGCGUGAGUGAUGAAGGCCUUAGGGUUGUAAAGCUCUUUUACCCGGGAUGAUAAUGACAGUACCGGGAGAAUAAGCUCCGGCUAACCCCGUG
This 433-nucleotide ribosomal RNA is filed under the name uncultured bacterium. RNAcentral describes it as "partial 16S ribosomal RNA". It matches the Rfam family "Bacterial small subunit ribosomal RNA", at positions 29 to 507 of the family's 1533-position model. The record is from RNAcentral.